GCCAGCAGCAUACCACCCUGCAUCCCACUGCUGGUUUGCUUCUGAAGCUAAGCAAGGUUGGUCCUUGGAUGGGAGACCAGAUGCUGCUGGAA
RNAcentral lists this ribosomal RNA (92 nucleotides) under Hucho hucho (huchen). Lineage: Eukaryota; Metazoa; Chordata; Actinopteri; Salmoniformes; Salmonidae. The record is from RNAcentral.